Molecule: ribosomal RNA, 494 nt
Filed under: uncultured bacterium
Lineage: Bacteria
Description: bacterial SSU rRNA
Rfam family: Bacterial small subunit ribosomal RNA
Source: RNAcentral
UCAGGAUGAACGCUGGCGGCGUGCUUAACACAUGCAAGUCGAACGGAGUGUAAACGCUGAAGCGAUUUCGGUCAAUUCUGUUAUACUAGUGGCGGACGGGUGAGUAACGCGUGGGUAACCUGCCGUAUGCAGGGGGACAACAGUUGGAAACGACUGCUAAUACCGCAUAAGCGCACAGAUAGGCAUCUAUCAGUGUGAAAAGAUUUAUCGGCAUACGAUGGACCCGCGUCUGAUUAGCUAGUUGGUGAGGUAACGGCCCACCAAGGCGACGAUCAGUAGCCGGCCUGAGAGGGUGAACGGCCACAUUGGGACUGAGACACGGCCCAAACUCCUACGGGAGGCAGCAGUGGGGAAUAUUGGACAAUGGGGGAAACCCUGAUCCAGCCGACGCCGCGUGAGUGAAGAAGUAUUUCGGUAUGUAAAGCUCUAUCAGCAAGGAAGAAAAUGACGGUACUUGACUAAGAAGCUCCGGCUAAAUACGUGCCAGCAGCGGC